UGGGGAAUAUUGCACAAUGGGCGAAAGCCUGAUGCAGCGACGCCGCGUGAGCGAAGAAGUAUCUCGGUAUGUAAAGCUCUAUCAGCAGGGAAGAAAAUGACGGUACCUGACUAAGAAGCCCCGGCUAACUACGUGCCAGCAGCCGCGGUAAUACGUAGGGGGCAAGCGUUAUCCGGAUUUACUGGGUUUAAAGGGAGCGUAGGCCGCCUGGUAAGCGUGUUGUGAAAAGCCGUGGCUCAACCAUGGUCGUGCAGCGCGAACUGCGGGGCUUGAGUGUGCGGAAAGUGGGCGGAAUUCGUGGUGUAGCGGUGAAAUGCGUAGAUAUCGGGAGGAACACCAGUGGCGAAGGCGGCUUGCUGGACGAUGACUGACGUUGAGGCUCGAAAGCGUGGGGAGCAAACAGG
RNAcentral lists this ribosomal RNA (404 nucleotides) under bacterium. Its description in RNAcentral is "bacterial SSU rRNA". It matches the Rfam family "Bacterial small subunit ribosomal RNA", at positions 355 to 776 of the family's 1533-position model. The record is from RNAcentral.